GAUGAACGCUGGCGGCGUGCUUAACACAUGCAAGUCGAACGGAAAGGCCACAGCUUGCUGUGGUCCUCGAGUGGCGAACGGGUGAGUAACACGUGGGUGAUCUGCCCUGUACUUCGGGAUAAGCUUGGGAAACUGGGUCUAAUACCGGAGAGGAAUCGCACGUGGGUGUGUGGGUGGAAAGCUUUUGCGGUAUGGGAUGAGCUCGCGGCCUAUCAGCUUGUUGGUGGGGUACUGGCCUACCAAGGCGUCGCCGGGUAGCCGGCCUGAGAGGGUGUACGGCCACAAUGGGAGUGCGAUGCGGCCCGGACGCAUACGGGAGGCAGGAGUGGGGAAUAUUGCGCGAUGGGCGCAAGCCUGAUGCAGCGACGCCGCGUGCGGGAUGACGGCCGUCGGGUUGUACACUGCUUUCGUCCGGGAUGAAGCGAAAGUGACGGUGCCUGGAGAAGAAGCACCGGCUAACUAUGUG
Molecule: ribosomal RNA, 466 nt
Filed under: uncultured bacterium
Lineage: Bacteria
Description: partial 16S ribosomal RNA
Rfam family: Bacterial small subunit ribosomal RNA
Source: RNAcentral